Protobothrops mucrosquamatus (brown spotted pit viper) is the source of this 189-nucleotide long non-coding RNA. RefSeq lists it as uncharacterized. The transcript is spliced from 2 exons. Lineage: Eukaryota; Metazoa; Chordata; Lepidosauria; Squamata; Viperidae. The record is from RefSeq and is a predicted model, not a curated record.
AAUUACGACUUCAAAAUUGGCAAGAUCACAUUCAUUAGAAAUUCCCGGCCGCUGGUCAAAAAAAUUGAAGAGGAUGAUGCUGGUACUCGCUUUAUUGCGUUCUCCGGAGAAGGUCAGUCCCUUCGCAAGAAAGGCAGGAAACCCUGAACUCUGCAGUCGGAAGACAAUAAAAUAAUCCUAUAUACUAGC